GAUGAACGCUGGCGGCGUGCCUAAUACAUGCCAGUCGAGCGAACAGACGAGGAGCUUGCUCCUCUGACGUUAGCGGCGGACGGGUGAGUAACACGUGGAUAACCUACCUAUAAGACUGGGAUAACUUCGGGAAACCGGAGAUAAUACCGGAUAAUAUAUUGAACCGCAUGGUUCAAUAGUGAAAGACGGUUUUGCUGUCACUUAUAGAUGGAUCCGGGUCGCAUUAGCUAGUUGGUAAGGUAACGGCUUACCAAGGCAACGAUGCGUAGCCGACCUGAGAGGGUGAGCGGCCACACUGGAACUGAGACACGGUCCAGACUCCUACGGGAGGCAGCAGUAGGGAAUCUUCCGCAAUGGGCGAAAGCCUGACGCAGCAACGCCGCGUGAGUGAUGAAGGUCUUCGGAUCGUAAAACUCUGUUAUUAGGGAAGAACAAAUGUGUAAGUAACUAUGCACGUCUUGACGGUACCUAAUCAGAAAGCCACGGCUAACUACGUG
Molecule: ribosomal RNA, 497 nt
Filed under: uncultured bacterium
Lineage: Bacteria
Description: partial 16S ribosomal RNA
Rfam family: Bacterial small subunit ribosomal RNA
Source: RNAcentral